AAAGGCGCGCGAUACAGGGUGACAGCCCCGUACACAAAAGCGCAUGUGCUGUGAGCUCGAUGAGUAGGGCGGGACACGUGGUAUCCUGUCUGAAUAUGGGGGGACCAUCCUCCAAGGCUAAAUACUCCUGACUGACCGAUAGUGAACCAGUACCGUGAGGGAAAGGCGAAAAGAACCCCGGCGAGGGGAGUGAAAAAGAACCUGAAACCGUGUACGUACAAGCAGUGGGAGCACCCUUUGGGGUGUGACUGCGUACCUUUUGUAUAAUGGGUCAGCGACUUAUAUUCUGUAGCAAGGUUAACCGUAUAGGGGAGCCGGAGGGAAACCGAGUCUUAAC
Molecule: ribosomal RNA, 337 nt
Filed under: Salmonella enterica subsp. enterica serovar Montevideo
Lineage: Bacteria; Pseudomonadati; Pseudomonadota; Gammaproteobacteria; Enterobacterales; Enterobacteriaceae
Description: partial 23S ribosomal RNA
Rfam family: Bacterial large subunit ribosomal RNA
Source: RNAcentral